GGACAAUAGCUUUAAAGAUUGGUAUCUCCUCUUGCUAAAGGACCCACUACAGCCUAAGCAGCAGCAGUGCAAGGUAUUACAUGCUGCUCUUCUAAUGUUCCUUCAUGUGGAGGAGUAGCUAGCAGUGUGUUUCUACUAAACCCAUCAAAAAAGAUGCAGGCAGUCCUUGUGUGUGAAUCAAUAGUCAUUGGCAGCAAGGCAGAAACCAACAGAGUCGUCAUAAUCAAGAUGGGUGAUAUCAUAGAUGGCAGUGACUUUUGGUCAGCACAUGUUGGGUGAUGACCUGGAAAGAUGCCACAAGUCAUAUCCAGUUCCUUGAUCCAGUGUAUGUGGUAGUGUUCAGACUUUUCCUUCCUGCUGCCUUGCUGCUAUUCACUUUUUCUCCCUCCUCCAUGCCAUCUACUGCAGUGACUGGGUGA
This 419-nucleotide long non-coding RNA is filed under the name Anser brachyrhynchus (Pink-footed goose). RNAcentral describes it as "lncRNA (ENSABRG00000015756.1)". Lineage: Eukaryota; Metazoa; Chordata; Aves; Anseriformes; Anatidae. The record is from RNAcentral.